Molecule: non-coding RNA, 73 nt
Organism: Octopus bimaculoides (California two-spot octopus)
Lineage: Eukaryota; Metazoa; Mollusca; Cephalopoda; Octopoda; Octopodidae
Source: Rfam
GGCAGUUUAGUUUAAUGGUAAAACACUUGACCCGUAAUCACAGAUAUGUGAGUUCGAGUCUCAUGAUUGGCCA